Molecule: ribosomal RNA, 445 nt
Filed under: uncultured bacterium
Lineage: Bacteria
Description: partial 16S ribosomal RNA
Rfam family: Bacterial small subunit ribosomal RNA
Source: RNAcentral
GUGAGGAAUAUUGCGCAAUGGAGGCAACUCUGACGCAGCCAUGCCGCGUGCAGGAAGAAGGCGCUACGCGUUGUAAACUGCUUUUAACCGGGAAGAAACCCCAGGACGUGUCCUGGGUUGACGGUACCGGAGGAAUGAGCACCGGCUAACUUCGUGCCAGCAGCCGCGGUAAUACGAAGGGUGCAAGCGUUAUCCGGAUUCAUUGGGUUUAAAGGGUGCGUAGGCGGAGCGUUAAGUCAGUGGUGAAAUCCUGCAGCUUAACUGUAGACUUGCCAUUGAUACUGGCGCUCUUGAGUGCGCUUGAAGUGGGCGGAAUGUGCCGUGUAGCGGUGAAAUGCUUAGAUAUGGCACAGAACACCAAUUGCGAAGGCAGCUCACUAAGGCGAUACUGACGCUGAGGCACGAAAGCGUGGGGAUCAAACAGGAUUAGAAACCCCAGUAGUCC